Molecule: ribosomal RNA, 1523 nt
Filed under: Salmonella enterica
Lineage: Bacteria; Pseudomonadati; Pseudomonadota; Gammaproteobacteria; Enterobacterales; Enterobacteriaceae
Also listed under: 2 other names
Description: partial 23S ribosomal RNA
Rfam family: Bacterial large subunit ribosomal RNA
Source: RNAcentral
GAUUCGUCACACUAUCAUUAACUGAAUCCAUAGGUUAAUGAGGCGAACCGGGGGAACUGAAACAUCUAAGUACCCCGAGGAAAAGAAAUCAACCGAGAUUCCCCCAGUAGCGGCGAGCGAACGGGGAGGAGCCCAGAGCCUGAAUCAGCAUGUGUGUUAGUGGAAGCGUCUGGAAAGGCGCGCGAUACAGGGUGACAGCCCCGUACACAAAAGCGCAUGUGCUGUGAGCUCGAUGAGUAGGGCGGGACACGUGGUAUCCUGUCUGAAUAUGGGGGGACCAUCCUCCAAGGCUAAAUACUCCUGACUGACCGAUAGUGAACCAGUACCGUGAGGGAAAGGCGAAAAGAACCCCGGCGAGGGGAGUGAAAAAGAACCUGAAACCGUGUACGUACAAGCAGUGGGAGCACCCUUCGGGGUGUGACUGCGUACCUUUUGUAUAAUGGGUCAGCGACUUAUAUUCUGUAGCAAGGUUAACCGUAUAGGGGAGCCGGAGGGAAACCGAGUCUUAACCGGGCGUUAAGUUGCAGGGUAUAGACCCGAAACCCGGUGAUCUAGCCAUGGGCAGGUUGAAGGUUGGGUAACACUAACUGGAGGACCGAACCGACUAAUGUUGAAAAAUUAGCGGAUGACCUGUGGCUGGGGGUGAAAGGCCAAUCAAACCGGGAGAUAGCUGGUUCUCCCCGAAAGCUAUUUAGGUAGCGCCUCGUGAAUUCAUCUCCGGGGGUAGAGCACUGUUUCGGCUAGGGGGCCAUCCCGGCUUACCAACCCGAUGCAAACUGCGAAUACCGGAGAAUGUUAUCACGGGAGACACACGGCGGGUGCUAACGUCCGUCGUGAAGAGGGAAACAACCCAGACCGCCAGCUAAGGUCCCAAAGUCAUGGUUAAGUGGGAAACGAUGUGGGAAGGCCCAGACAGCCAGGAUGUUGGCUUAGAAGCAGCCAUCAUUUAAAGAAAGCGUAAUAGCUCACUGGUCGAGUCGGCCUGCGCGGAAGAUGUAACGGGGCUAAACCAUGCACCGAAGCUGCGGCAGCGAACGUAUCACCCAAGACAACUUUACGGAGUUGACGAUUGACGGAGCGAAGCGACGUCAAAGCGUUCAUUAAAGUCGAGUUGGCUUAGGGAUACGUUCGUUGGGUAGGGGAGCGUUCUGUAAGCCUGUGAAGGUGUGUCGUGAGGCAUGCUGGAGGUAUCAGAAGUGCGAAUGCUGACAUAAGUAACGAUAAAGCGGGUGAAAAGCCCGCUCGCCGGAAGACCAAGGGUUCCUGUCCAACGUUAAUCGGGGCAGGGUGAGUCGACCCCUAAGGCGAGGCCGAAAGGCGUAGUCGAUGGGAAACGGGUUAAUAUUCCCGUACUUGGUGUUACUGCGAAGGGGGGACGGAGAAGGCUAUGUUGGCCGGGCGACGGUUGUCCCGGUUUAAGCGUGUAGGUGUGUGUUCCAGGUAAAUCCGGUUCACUUUAACACUGAGGCGUGACGACGAGGCACUACGGUGCUGAAGCAACAAAUGCCCUGCUUCCAGGAAAA